GGGGGUAUAGCUCAAGUGGUAGAGUGCGUGCUUAGCAUGCACAAGGUCCUGGGUUCAAUCCCCAGUACCUCCU
This 73-nucleotide transfer RNA is filed under the name Camelus bactrianus (Bactrian camel). It matches the Rfam family "tRNA". Rfam says of the family: Transfer RNA (tRNA) molecules are approximately 80 nucleotides in length. The record is from Rfam by way of RNAcentral. RNAcentral also lists the same sequence under 2 other names. Lineage: Eukaryota; Metazoa; Chordata; Mammalia; Artiodactyla; Camelidae.